AAAAAGGCCGCCGCCACGGGUGUCAGUUUAUCCGAUCACGGUGUCCCUCUCCAACUAAAUCUACCCUCCAGCUAAGUUGAAUCUGAGAGCAUACACGAGCCAACACUUGAAGACUUGGAUGUGGCAUUCAUAGCGGAGGGCAUCAAUUGCACCGGCCAGCAAAAAGAUUUGUUUUGCGGAGAUUCUUCAAACAGCAGAGCUGCAGAGUACAGAGAGCCAAAGAAAUUCGGCGGAAAUAGUGAACUGGAGAGCUGAUGAUUUCGAGUAGAUUACAU
Long non-coding RNA from Lolium rigidum, 275 nucleotides. RefSeq lists it as uncharacterized. NCBI's taxonomy places the organism in Eukaryota, Viridiplantae, Streptophyta, Magnoliopsida, Poales, Poaceae. The record is from RefSeq and is a predicted model, not a curated record. The transcript is spliced from 3 exons.